This is a long non-coding RNA of Cavia porcellus (domestic guinea pig), 411 nucleotides long. RefSeq lists it as uncharacterized. The record is from RefSeq and is a predicted model, not a curated record. The transcript is spliced from 3 exons. NCBI's taxonomy places the organism in Eukaryota, Metazoa, Chordata, Mammalia, Rodentia, Caviidae.
UUAGAAUUGUGAGGCCAUUUUGGAAACAGCUGCCAAGUUGCUAAUGCUAUUAAAAAUAGCUCUUGCUCCCUAAUAAAUGAAUUGCUUAUUUUAAGAAGACAAGAGUGGCUUGAAUCUGUCCUGCUUGCGUUUUUCAUCUCCUGGGCACAGUGCCAGUGGAUUCAAGAAGGUCUGCUGUCAGAUGGGAAUGCCAUCUGCAGAGAUGAGGCCGUGCCUAUCUAUGCAGGAGCCAGCAUUUUUGGGCCCGGGCUAAGGGAGUUAUUGAACUGAAUGAUUACGAUGUAUCUGGUUUUCCAAGCAGCAAGAACAGCAAAUGUAAAGGCCCCGAGGCAGGCCACCCUGCCAUGGAACCAGCUGAUUAUGGACUGAAACCUCUUGUACUGUAAGCUAAAUAAAUCUUUUCUUCCUUAA